Molecule: long non-coding RNA, 676 nt
Organism: Lycium barbarum (goji berry)
Lineage: Eukaryota; Viridiplantae; Streptophyta; Magnoliopsida; Solanales; Solanaceae
Exons: 2
Source: RefSeq, a predicted model, not a curated record
CAACUUUCCAUUUUUUAUUUCUUCCUUCUUUUCUUUUUGGGGCUCCACAUAUUUUCUCUUUUUUGACUUCAUACCAUAUUUUCCCUAAAUUGCUCCAUCUCCCUUCUCUUUCUCCUGCAAACCAGCCGCCUCCCUCAUCUCCUUUGUCCUCUCUCCUUCUCUCCGUCCCUCACCUGCGCUACCUUUCCCCGAUUUUCCUCCACUCUCAUUCGUCGCUGUCCCCCACUCGCUACACCCCGCUCCUCUUCUUCUUCCAUCUAAAACCCUAAUCACAAUCCUAUAAAAAGAGGGGAACGAGGAGAAGCGAGGGGGACGAAAGACCUCUCAUUUAAGCUAUUUUUCUACUUUUGCUAAAAAAAAAACAUUAGCAUUUUAUAUCUUUCAAUCUCUGUCCGUUUCUAUUUUGUAAAAGGAGAGUAGAUCUGAGACUUGACGCCCCGUUCACUGUGCUCACAAGAGGUAUGGAUUUGCAUUGGAGUACAAUGAAUGACGAAGAUCAAUGACAUCACAAAAACGAGGCUGAGAUUUAGACAUAGGAAAUUGUAUUCACUUCAUUUAGAUUAGGAAACACUUUAUGUUGUAUUCAUUUGACAUGUAAUAAACGUUACAUUACUUUUGUACUUUAUUGUUGGGGAAAUAGAAUUUGUUUAAAUAAUCAAAGCAACGGGAUGACAUA